GACGAACGCUGGCGGCGUGCUUAACACAUGCAAGUCGAACGGUGAAGCGCCUUCCUUUUUGGUGGGUGUGGAUGAGUGGCGAACGGGUGAGUAACACGUGAGUAACCUGCCCCCUUCUCCUGGAUAACCGCAUGAAAGUGUGGCUAAUACGGGAUAUUCUGGGUCUGUCGCAUGAUGGGUCUGGGAAAGAUAUUGUUUCGGUGGGGGAUGGGCUCGCGGCCUAUCAGCUUGUUGGUGGGGUGAUGGCCUACCAAGGCGGUGACGGGUAGCCGGCCUGAGAGGGUGGACGGUCACACUGGGACUGAGACACGGCCCAGACUCCGACGGGAGGCAGCAGUGGGGAAUAUUGCACAAUGGGCGCAAGCCUGAUGCAGCGACGCCGCGGGAGGGAUGGAGGCCUUCGGGUUGUGAACCUCUUUCGCCAGUGAAGCAGGCCUGCCUCGUUUGUGGGUGGGUUGACGGUAGCUGGAUAAGAAGCGCCGGCUAACUACGUG
Molecule: ribosomal RNA, 494 nt
Filed under: uncultured bacterium
Lineage: Bacteria
Description: partial 16S ribosomal RNA
Rfam family: Bacterial small subunit ribosomal RNA
Source: RNAcentral